This is a long non-coding RNA of Rhagoletis pomonella (apple maggot), 1353 nucleotides long. RefSeq lists it as uncharacterized. NCBI's taxonomy places the organism in Eukaryota, Metazoa, Arthropoda, Insecta, Diptera, Tephritidae. The transcript has 3 exons. The record is from RefSeq and is a predicted model, not a curated record.
UCUGCUAGUUUGUCUCAUUUUCACUUUAUGUGCGAGAGAGUGAACAAUUGAAUAGUUGCGCUUGGAAAAAAUAAUAGAAACAAAACGUGUUUGUUGAUAUUGUUGCUUUUAAAAGGUUAUUGAAACAUAAAAAAUAAUAAAAUGGACCGAGCUAAACACUGCACGGAAUAGGAGAAGAAUUAAUAACGAGUAAUUUUUAAGCAAAAUAAAACCGACUUCAUAUCUCUUAUAAAAAUUUAGGAGUACCGUUAUCGGAUCCAAACCAGAUUUGUAUGGGGCGACCUCUGAGACACCACCUUUCCGAUGCAAAAGAAUUUUCGAAAUCGGUUGACGUGGUCCAAAGUUAUGCGUCGGUUAAUAAGUUGAAGAACACAAGGAAAUUCGGAUAGCAGAUAUGGUGGACUGUUCCAAAAAGAAGGUGUUCACUGUCAUUCAUAGCGUAAAAUAACCAGAAACAUGACGCAGAAAACGAAAAAUUACUGCUGGCGAUCAAAGGCGUUUAGUUCGGCAUUGCAAAGCUAACCCUUUUCUGUCCUCAAGAUAGCUGAAAACAGAAUUUAAUUUAGAUGUAACAAGCCGAACCAUUAGGUACAGAUUGGAAGAAGGCAAACUUCCAGCCAGAAUCCUUAGAAAGAUACCGUUGCUGAGCCUUAAAAACAAAAUCAGCAGACUUGCUUUUGCUAGAAAACAAAUUUUCCGACAAAAUUGGAAAAAUGUGCUAUAGCCUUAAUAAAAAAAUUAAUAUGUUCGGAUGGAAAACAUUACGUAAAACGUCCUUUGAUCCACAAUACACGAAAAAAACGGUUAAGCACAGCGGGGGUUCCAUUAUGGUAUGGGGCUGCUUCCCGGAGGAAGGCGUUGGUCCAAUAUUUUUAAUAAAGAGCAAAAUAUACGCGGUUGACUAUGUAAACAUAUUACAGACGAAAAGGUUUCCCUAUGCUAAAGAGGAAAACCAUUGCGGUGGAAGUUACUGCAGGAUAAUGAUCCUAAGCAUGCAUCGAAACUGGUAAAGUAGUGGUCGUCUCAAUCGCCAGACCUCAACCCCAUUGAACACCUUUGGGCAGACUUAUCGAGCCUUUUAAAGCCAGCAAAAAAGACGAAUUGAGGCGCCACAUUCUAAAACAGUGGUAUUCCAUUCCGAAAGUGUUUGUGCAAACUUGGCUAAUUCGAUGCACCGAAUAUGCGAAAAGGUAAUCAGACAAGGCGGCGGUUCAAUAAACUAUUGAAACAAUAAUAUUUUUGUAAAAAUUGUUGGGUCAAAGUUUAAUUUAUUUAGAAGUAAUACCUUGUUUCUAUUAUUUCUCCCAGGCCAAAAUUAAAAAAUGGGCCACAAUUUAUUUAUGGCUUAUUGAA